This 850-nucleotide ribosomal RNA is filed under the name uncultured bacterium. Its description in RNAcentral is "bacterial SSU rRNA". It matches the Rfam family "Bacterial small subunit ribosomal RNA", at positions 48 to 889 of the family's 1533-position model. The record is from RNAcentral.
GCUACCAUGCAGUCGACGGCAGCACAGAGGAGCUUGCUCCUUGGGUGGCGAGUGGCGGACGGGUGAGGAAUGCAUCGGAAUCUGCCUAUUUGUGGGGGAUAACGUAGGGAAACUUACGCUAAUACCGCAUACGUCCUACGGGAGAAAGUGGGGGACCUUCGGGCCUCACGCAGAUAGAUGAGCCGAUGCCGGAUUAGCUAGUUGGCGGGGUAAAGGCCCACCAAGGCGACGAUCCGUAGCUGGUCUGAGAGGAUGAUCAGCCACACUGGAACUGAGACACGGUCCAGACUCCUACGGGAGGCAGCAGUGGGGAAUAUUGGACAAUGGGCGCAAGCCUGAUCCAGCCAUGCCGCGUGUGUGAAGAAGGCCUUCGGGUUGUAAAGCACUUUUGUCCGGAAAGAAAAGCGCUCGAUUAAUACUCGGGUGUUAUGACGGUACCGGAAGAAUAAGCACCGGCUAACUUCGUGCCAGCAGCCGCGGUAAUACGAAGGGUGCAAGCGUUACUCGGAAUUACUGGGCGUAAAGCGUGCGUAGGUGGUUUGUUAAGUCUGAUGUGAAAGCCCUGGGCUCAACCUGGGAACUGCAUUGGAAACUGGCUUACUAGAGUGCGGUAGAGGGGUGUGGAAUUCCCGGUGUAGCAGUGAAAUGCGUAGAUAUCGGGAGGAACAUCUGUGGCGAAGGCGACACCCUGGACCAGCACUGACACUGAGGCACGAAAGCGUGGGGAGCAAACAGGAUUAGAUACCCUGGUAGUCCACGCCCUAAACGAUGCGAACUGGAUGUUGGGGGCAACUUGGCCCUCAGUAUCGAAGCUAACGCGUUAAGUUCGCCGCCUGGGAAGUACGGUCGC